RNAcentral lists this ribosomal RNA (159 nucleotides) under Lygodesmia juncea. RNAcentral's name for it is "partial 5.8S ribosomal RNA". It matches the Rfam family "5.8S ribosomal RNA". Rfam says of the family: 5.8S ribosomal RNA (5.8S rRNA) is a component of the large subunit of the eukaryotic ribosome. Lineage: Eukaryota; Viridiplantae; Streptophyta; Magnoliopsida; Asterales; Asteraceae. The record is from RNAcentral.
GACUCUCGGCAACGGAUAUCUCGGCUCACGCAUCGAUGAAGAACGUAGCAAAAUGCGAUACUUGGUGUGAAUUGCAGAAUCCCGUGAACCAUCGAGUUUUUGAACGCAAGUUGCGCCCAAAGCCUUUUGGCCGAGGGCACGCCUGCCUGGGCGUCACGC